Molecule: non-coding RNA, 69 nt
Organism: Podarcis lilfordi (Lilford's wall lizard)
Lineage: Eukaryota; Metazoa; Chordata; Lepidosauria; Squamata; Lacertidae
Source: the annotation of a GenBank genome assembly
UGUGUGUGUGUGUGUGUGUGUGUGUGUGUAGAGAGAGUAUUCACACUCACAUAUACAUACACACACACU